GACGAACGCUGGCGGCGUGCUUAACACAUGCAAGUCGAACGGAAAGGCCCUGCUUGCAGGGUCCUCGAGUGGCGAACGGGUGAGUAACACGUGGGUGAUCUGCCCUGCACUUCGGGAUAAGCCUGGGAAACUGGGUCUAAUACCGGAAAGGAGCCAUUUUUAGUGUGAUGGUUGGAAAGUUUUUUCGGUGUGGGAUGAGCUCGCGGCCUAUCAGCUUGUUGGUGGGGUAAUGGCCUACCAAGGCGGCGACGGGUAGCUGGCCUGGGAGGGUGGACGGCCACCUUGGGACUGAGAGACGGCCCAGACGCCGACGGGAGGCAGCAGGGGGGAAUAUUGCACAAGGGGCGCAGGCCUGGUGCAGCGACGCCGCGUGGGGGAUGACGGCCUUCGGGUUGUAGACUCCUUUCGCUAGGGACGAAGCUUUUUGUGACGGUACCUAGAGAAGAAGCACCGGCUAACUACGUG
RNAcentral lists this ribosomal RNA (465 nucleotides) under uncultured bacterium. RNAcentral's name for it is "partial 16S ribosomal RNA". It matches the Rfam family "Bacterial small subunit ribosomal RNA", at positions 28 to 507 of the family's 1533-position model. The record is from RNAcentral.